CAAUAUUCACAUGCAAGUUGAAUACAAUCUUAAUACAAAAUGCAGCUAUGGCUCCAGGGUUUAAAUGCUAUUUAUUUUGUUUACAGAACUACUCCUUCAGCAAAGGAAUAAAAGGAUUUCGAUGGUGUCUAUGAACAGUCAGGAGUCAACAGAAGACGACAGAAAUAAUGACAAAUACAAUUCACUUCGCGGCGUGCCAGGUGAAGUUCGACGAUCAUCAGGUGAUAGAAAAGUCCGAAGAACUACUUGGUACUGUGAAUGAAAAUUCCUAUACUUUAUUGAAACUUGGGUUCUGUUCCGUUUAGCGCUGACGUCCUUUCAAAGGGAAAAGUAUUUAUGAACUUCGUUUAUUGUUUAAGAAGUAUGACGUAAGUAGAUGGAACAAUAAGUACUUAUGUCACGAGUGGUAUGGGGCACAUAAAACGAUAAAAUCUGUGCGGAAUAUAGGGCCGUGAAAAAGGAAACCGACACUUUUAUAUAACUUUUCUUAUUGACACACAUACUUUACAAUUUUUCAUCAUCUCAAUUAGCUUAUUUAUUACCUAUCACAGGCGGGUUGGUAGAGUUCAGAGGUGAUUUAGUAGCAGUAGCUUCUAUUUACUUGUAUUUACUUACUGUAGAUUGUGAAUUUCUCAGUCAAAUGGUGGGCCUAAAUCUUCUAUGAAGUUAAAAAAAAACUUAAUAGAAGUAAUCUAACAAAUGUAUGUUCAGAAAAUUUUGACUGUAAGGCCCACUUGCACCAACCACUUAACUCGGGGUUAGUGGGCUGUCAUCUGUCAAAUUCCAUAUAAAAUGGUGGGUUAACCCUCGGGUUAACCGUCCAUUUUCGUUGGUGCAAGUGGCCCUAAAUGUAAUUAAUUAUCAUCGGUUAACCCGAGGUUAACCCACCAUUUUAUACGGAAUUUGACAGUUGACAGCCCACUAACCUUGAGUUAAGCGGGUGGUGCAAGUGGCCCUGAUCAAAGUAGACUGUGUUGGCGAAAAGCUAAAAAGCUAUAAAAUGUUUCUUUGAUUACACGAUGGUAGUUAAUUGUGAGUUCAAAAAUAACAAUCAAAGAAACUUGAACAGUGCGAGUGUGACUCGCCUACCCAGGGUUCCGUAUAAACUAAAGUUAUUUUUUAUUAGGUACGGAAUCCUAAAACUAUUUUUUAACUGAAUUAUUUUAGAAUUCAUACUGUUAAACUAAGUCGUAUUAAUAUUAGAUACAAUUUGCAGACUAGAAUACACAUAAGACAAGUAAAUAUAAUGACCCCAUGGAGUCUCGUGCAGUUUUAUUGGCAUUUCAACAUGAAUGGAUGUUUGCAGUCUUUAGCAAAUUAUUUUGUAUUAUUUAGAAGGUUCUAUUUAACAGUAGCUAAUCAACUUUUGAAUUAAUUCCAUGUAUCAAAAAAGUGACUUAAGUAAGUUUCGUAAUUUGUAAUAAAAUGUAACCAAAGUGUGGUAGCAAACAUUUAAUGAUAUUUCCACAAAAUGUGAUAAUUGUUUUUGCAUUAAUAUUAUUAUACUUUAUGUUUUAGUUACAGUCAUUAUUAUUAUACAUUAUUAGAACAUAUAUUGUUAUACAAUGUUGUUUAAUGAAAGCUAAUUGUAAGAUAUUUUAUUGAUGUAAAACAGACGAUAGCUCACUGCUAUAACUAUGUAAAAUAAUUUCGAAAUCAUUUAAUAAAACAUAUAGUAACUA
Molecule: long non-coding RNA, 1682 nt
Filed under: Leguminivora glycinivorella
Lineage: Eukaryota; Metazoa; Arthropoda; Insecta; Lepidoptera; Tortricidae
Description: uncharacterized LOC125227151
Source: RNAcentral